AUGGUUCUUUCUGUCAAUAUGAAAGCGUACAUGGUCUUAUCUGACAAAAAUUCCCAGUCUGACGUGCACGAAUUGCAUAGUGCUGACAGGAGAUGUAACUGGUUGGAUCAUGCUUGGAUGAUGCAUUCAUUCGAUAAUAAUCUCAAGGAAAGCUUGCAUCAACAAAACUGGAGUAAAUAUUUUCAAGCAUUGUUUUGGGGGAAGUUGUUCCAUGUCAUUUUCUUGAUCACCUCAAUGGAGGUCCCACUGAAAAGGAACAUCAUAUUUUUUGAUCAGCUCAAUGGAGGAGCCAUGAUACCUGCUGUGAAGCUCUCUCCGGCCGCCUUCUCUGUCACCAAUCAACGGUCUAAAUCAGCUUUGGUUCCGUCGGUGUCCAUUCUCAACAUGAAACAAAUUGCCUCCUGCUCCCUUAGACCACUCUACCUCACACGGCUAGAUGACCCACACACUUCCGAGCUGAAGCCUCGGAGGCAGCUGCUUGACUUCAGGUGUGCAGCUUCAGCGGCUGAUGACAAGGAGUCGAAGGCUGAGGUGGUGCCAGCCAGCUCAGAAGCAGCACAAAAGUUGAAGAUCUCAAUCUAUUUUGCGACUUGGUGGGCGCUUAAUGUGAUCUUUAACAUCUAUAACAAGAAGGUUCUCAAUGCUUUCCCGUAUCCCUGGCUCACCUCCACACUAUCCCUCGCCUGUGGCUCAGCGAUGAUGCUCUUCUCAUGGGUCACCUGCCUAGUUGAGGCCCCCAAGACUGACUUAGAUUUCUGGAAAGCACUCUUCCCGGUUGCUGUGGCUCAUACAAUUGGACAUGUUGCUGCCACAGUGAGCAUGUCAAAGGUGGCAGUGUCAUUCACACACAUUAUCAAGAGUGCUGAGCCUGCAUUCAGUGUUUUGGUGUCAAGGUUCAUUCUCGGAGAGUCAUUUCCGAUGCCUGUAUAUCUUUCUCUUCUCCCGAUCAUUGGUGGUUGUGGUCUAGCUGCUGCGACAGAGCUGAACUUUAAUAUGAUUGGAUUUAUGGGUGCCAUGAUAUCGAACCUUGCAUUUGUUUUCCGCAACAUCUUCUCGAAGCGGGGCAUGAAAGGGAAGUCUGUCAGUGGCAUGAAUUACUACGCUUGCCUUUCAAUUAUGUCCCUGAUCAUACUCGCACCAUUUGCUAUUGCUAUGGAAGGCCCCCAAAUGUGGGCCGCUGGAUGGCAAAAGGCUCUUGCAGAUGUUGGCCCCAACGUUCUCUGGUGGAUUGGUGCACAGAGCGUUUUCUACCACCUGUAUAACCAGGUGUCCUACAUGUCUUUGGACCAGAUUUCUCCAUUGACGUUUAGCAUUGGCAAUACAAUGAAGCGCAUAUCAGUUAUUGUUUCGUCAAUCAUUAUCUUCCGUACACCUGUCCGCCCUGUAAAUGCACUAGGAGCUGCCAUUGCCAUCUUUGGCACAUUCCUGUACUCUCAGGCAAAGCAGUGA
RNAcentral lists this ribosomal RNA (1449 nucleotides) under Triticum aestivum (bread wheat). Its description in RNAcentral is "partial small subunit ribosomal RNA". Lineage: Eukaryota; Viridiplantae; Streptophyta; Magnoliopsida; Poales; Poaceae. The record is from RNAcentral.